AGCGAGAAGACUUUCAAAAUGGACGGAGAGCAUUCCAUCAUCAAAAUUUGGGCUUUAACAGCAGCAUAGGAGGGAUUUAAUCCCAUUAAGAAAGUCAUGACAAACUCUUGUUCCUGAUAAUCAUUCCACGCCUUUAUGUUUCCGCAGUGACAGGUUGGAGCUGGUUGAAAGGUUUUGAGUUCGUUCUAGAUUGUUUUCAUUCGUGUGUAGUAUGUGUUGAUGCUGAGUGACCCUUGAGCAAGGUUGUUCAUGCCCUGUUUCAGUUGGUAGAUACGCGGUGCAUUGCUCUACUGAUAACGGAGCUGCAAAUCGGUCCAAAUGGAUUGUGCACUUUCAUGGUAUAACAAGCUGUCAGCUAUCUCCUUUGUUACAGCAUUCAGCAACUAAGAAAUCACCAUACUGUUACAACGCGACCAAGCUGCGGCAUGGGAGUCGGUGUUGUUCGGUUGAUCGUAGGUUCCGUCUAUGAAUCCCAAUUUAUUUUUGGCGGUAAGUGUUAUCCUGAUUGCUCUCUCCCAUGUGUUGUAG
Molecule: long non-coding RNA, 528 nt
Filed under: Carica papaya (papaya)
Lineage: Eukaryota; Viridiplantae; Streptophyta; Magnoliopsida; Brassicales; Caricaceae
Description: long non-coding RNA (CPAP_LNC014814)
Source: RNAcentral